Thamnophis elegans (Western terrestrial garter snake) is the source of this 471-nucleotide long non-coding RNA. RefSeq lists it as uncharacterized. The transcript is spliced from 3 exons. The record is from RefSeq and is a predicted model, not a curated record. NCBI's taxonomy places the organism in Eukaryota, Metazoa, Chordata, Lepidosauria, Squamata, Natricidae.
CCUGGAGCUCUAUGGUAUGGGUCAUCUUUUCUUAUAAAAUUUUACCCGCUCCUGCCGUUUAUGUUUCAUCACAUACUUUCAAUACUUAUUUCCGCAUAACACACUAAAGACCAGGAUUUGAGGAUUCAUCCUAGUUUGAAGAAACAAAGAAUUGAGAAAAUAUAUUAACUCUAUAGGUUAUGAAUCAAUAGUGCCAACAUGACAGGCCCAAGGAGUAAAAUGAGCAGGGGUGAUCCAGAGACCAUCAAGGACUUUUCUCAUAUGCUGAAGUUAACUCAACUGUAACAUUAGCAUCCAAGAAUCAUCUACUUCUCCCAACCAUCCAAGAACCAUCUACUUAACCCAAGAUCUAGAAUAUGCAAUCUAAGAGGAGUCCAGAUACCCUAUCUUUUCCAAUAGGAAUACCUUGGCAAUAAACAUGGUUGUACCUUGGAGUUUUACUGUAGCCUUUUUAUCUUCUAUCAAACUGCA